CCCUUAGAUGUUCUGGGCCGCACGCGCGCUACACUGAUGCAUUCAACGAGUCUAAAACCUGCUCUGAUAGGGGUGGGUAAUCUUUUGAAUGUGCAUCGUGAUUGGGAUAGAUGAUUGCAAUUUUUCAUCUUCAACGAGGAAUGCCUAGUAAACGCAAGUCAUCAGCUUGCAUUGAUUACGUCCCUGCCCUUUGUACACACCGCCCGUCGCUCCUACCGAUUGAAUGAUCCGAUGAAUAUCAUGGAUUGAGGAUGCAAGUAGGUUCGCCUAUCUUCAUCUUCAAGAAGUGAAGUAAAUCUUAUCAUUUAGAGGAAGGAGAAGUCGUAACA
RNAcentral lists this ribosomal RNA (329 nucleotides) under uncultured eukaryote. Its description in RNAcentral is "partial 18S ribosomal RNA". It matches the Rfam family "Eukaryotic small subunit ribosomal RNA", at positions 1470 to 1796 of the family's 1831-position model. The record is from RNAcentral.